Molecule: ribosomal RNA, 253 nt
Filed under: uncultured bacterium
Lineage: Bacteria
Description: partial 16S ribosomal RNA
Rfam family: Bacterial small subunit ribosomal RNA
Source: RNAcentral
UACGAAGGGGGCUAGCGUUGCUCGGAAUCACUGGGCGUAAAGCGCACGUAGGCGGAUCUUUAAGUCAGGGGUGAAAUCCCGGAGCUCAACUCCGGAACUGCCUUUGAUACUGGGGAUCUUGAGACCGGAAGAGGUCGGCGGAACUGCGAGUGUAGAGGUGAAAUUCGUAGAUAUUCGCAAGAACACCAGUGGCGAAGGCGGCCGACUGGUCCGGUUCUGACGCUGAGGCGCGAAAGCGUGGGGAGCAAACAGG